UGAAUACGAGACGCUAAGGCGUCGAAGUAGUGUAUGUCAUACUUCCAAGAAAAGCUUGCACUGUCAUAGAUAAAAAACGCCUGUACCAUAACCGACACAGGUGGGUAGGUAGAGUAUACUAAGGGGCGCGAGAUAACUCUCUCUAAGGAACUCGGCAAAAUAACUCCGUAACUUCGGGAGAAGGAGUGCCUUAUUCUUAAGGUUGCAAUAACAAGAUCCAAGCAACUGUUUAUCAAAAACACAGGUCUCCGCUAAGUCGUAAGACGAUGUAUGGGGGCUGACGCCUGCCCAGUGCCAGAAGGUUAAAGAAGCUGGUUAGCAUUUGCGAAGCUAGUAACUGAAGCCCUGGUGAACGGCGGCCGUAACUAUAACGGUCCUAAGGUAGCGAAAUUCCUUGUCGGGUAAGUUCCGACCCGCACGAAAGGCGUAAUGAUUUGGAUACUGUCUCGGAGAGGGGCUCGGUGAAAUAGACUUGUCUGUGAAGAUGCGGACUACCUGCACCAGGACAGAAAGACCCUAUGGAGCUUUACUGUAACUUGAAAUUGAAAUUGGACUUUAUUCGCGCAGUAUAGGUGGGAGGCGUUGAUUAUAAUCUUGCGGGAUUAUUGGAGCCAUUAGUGAGAUACCACUCUUGUAAUGUUAGAUUUCUAACUUUGAAUCAUUAUCUGGUCAAAGAACAGUUUCAGGCGGGCAGUUUGACUGGGGCGGUCGCCUCCCAAACGGUAACGGAGGCGUACAAAGGUUUCCUCUGAACGGUUAGAAAUCGUAUCUAGAGUGUAAAGGCAUAAGGAAGCUUGACUGUGAGACCUACAAGUCGAGCAGGGACGAAAGUCGGUCUUAGUGAUCUGACGGUACUGAGUGGAAAGGCCGUCACUCAACGGAUAAAAGUUACUCUAGGAUAACAGGCUGAUCUCCCCCAAGAGUUCACAUCGACGGGGAGGUUUGGCACCUCGAUGUCGGCUCAUCGCAUCCUGGGGCGGUAGUACGUCCCAAGGGUUGGGCUGUUCGCCCAUGAAAGCGGUACGCGAGCUGGGUUCAGAACGUCGUGAGACAGUUCGGUCCAUAUCCGGUGUAGGCGUUAGAAUAUUGAGAGGAGCCUUCUUUAGUACGAGAGGACCGAGAAGGACAUACCUCUGGUGUACCAGUUAUCGUGCCAACGGUAGACGCUGGGUAGCUAUGUAUGGAGUGGAUAACCGCUGAAAGCAUCUAAGUGGGAAGCCCACCUCAAGAUAAGUAUUCUCAGC
This 1244-nucleotide ribosomal RNA is filed under the name metagenome. RNAcentral's name for it is "bacterial LSU rRNA". It matches the Rfam family "Bacterial large subunit ribosomal RNA", at positions 1564 to 2818 of the family's 2925-position model. The record is from RNAcentral.